This is a long non-coding RNA of Stegostoma tigrinum, 1259 nucleotides long. RefSeq lists it as uncharacterized. The record is from RefSeq and is a predicted model, not a curated record. Lineage: Eukaryota; Metazoa; Chordata; Chondrichthyes; Orectolobiformes; Stegostomatidae. The transcript is spliced from 3 exons.
UCUAUGCACCUCUCUUAUUUGCAUAGUUUGAAUUAAGGCUUCCUUAAUCAGGCCAACAAGCUCUGGUUGAUUUUCAACAAAUAUCCAUUUACCAGCAAUUCAAAAUGAAACAGCAGCAGUGGACUCACAAUGAAUGGUCGAAUAUGUAGUAUUGUUUUUUGACAUAUUUGGAUGCUGGCUUUGUCCGUUGUAUUGGCACCAAGCAAAGGCCAUAAGAAAUGCAUUCCCACGAGGAAAGAAGAUAAAUGAAGGAGUGCCACCAAUAUGCUCAACAUCUGCAUCAAUAUACUUCGAAUUUGGAAGAUCCAACAAUAAUCUAACAAUAUCAUUGCAGACACACAUUUUACUGAGCUUCCAUCAGAACUCAGUAUUCAGUUAAAGAUAUUUUCAUCUGUUUGCAGGAGAGCAAUUUAAUGGACAGAGGCAAAAGUUUUACCUAAUAUGGUUCAGAGCCAAGCUGGGAACAGGAUUUGUAAGAUGCUAUGUGUGCAUCACCACAAGAAGAAGACAGAACAUGGACUUUACUCAAGAGAAAGUACCCUGUUAACUGACGGCUGAAAAAUGCUGGUUCAGAGUGAAUAAAUCUACUGAUGAAUUCUUCAUGAUUGCCUAUCACAAACCCACCUUUAACCAGACAAUAAAUGUACAUGUGCACAGCCCAGACCAUCACGGAAGCCAAACUUCCAUCCAUGGAAUCCACCUCCACUUCUCGUUACUAUGGAAACACUGCCAAUAUCGUCAAAGACUCCUCCCACCCUAGUAAUACUCCCCUACAACCUCUUCCAUCAGGCAGAAGAUACAGAAGCUUGAACACACGCACCAACAGGUUGAAGAACAGCUUCUUUCCUGCUGUUAUUAGACUGAUGAGUGGACUUUCUAACUUCAAAUAAUGUUGAUCUUGUUACUGUUGACCUUAAUUAUUAUGUCUCCUGUGCAGUGUAACAUGUAGGCCUCACUUGGUCCAAGCACCCUAUGAAUUGUAUGGAAACAAAACAAAUGCUGAAGGUCAUAGUGAUCAGCUCUGGCGAGGAGUCAUUUAGACUCAAAAUAUCAGUUUGCUCUCUCUCCAUGAAUGCUGUCCGACCUGCUGUGAUCUUCAGCAUUUGUUGUUUUCAAUACAGAUUCCAGCAUCUGCUGUAAUUUGCUCCUGCUAUGAUCUGUAUGUCUUUGCUUACUAUGGUCUGCCUGUACUGCUCGCAAACAAAGCUAUUCACUGUACUUAGGUACAUGUGACAAUAAAUCAAAUCAAAUCAAAUGUG